UUAGUUAAUCACUUAGUUUGGUUUAUGC
Molecule: small RNA, 28 nt
Filed under: Bombyx mori (domestic silkworm)
Lineage: Eukaryota; Metazoa; Arthropoda; Insecta; Lepidoptera; Bombycidae
Description: ovarian small RNA-36761
Source: RNAcentral